UCUUCUCCAAAUGUCAGGGCUGAAUUACAAACGUUUUCUGAGCCCACUCCCUUCUGUACAUCUCCAUCUUCUCCAAACUCACGCCUGGGAUCAGGAAUCGACUGUGGAAGCCUUCCAAUCUGUCUUUCAAGAGGGAUCAGCCAUGGGGGAGGAAUUGGAAUGCUGCAGGAAAGCGGCCCGCCCCCCUCGGCACACCAGAGCCCACAGCAGAGCCUCCACGCUUGCUAAUGCAGAAUUCGAUUAUGUGCUGACUGUCCCUGAGAAAUAAGCUCUCCCCACAGCCAGGAAGCAUGGAAAGCUCAGAGUCAGCAGCCUCCCCUGUAGGCUUUGCUUUGGCCAACGAGGCGUCACAGGAGCCAGUACAAAGCUUAUGUGGUUGGACUUGGCUUGUUCCUUCCCUCUGCUCUCUCCAAGAACACAAUACAGCCGGGCUAGCUGCAGAUCCCAGGAGCAGAGUGAGAAGGCUGACUUACUGCGGGCGUAUUGAGGGCAUUGUAGAGCAGUCAGCCAUCUUGCUGUUGCUGUACUAAUUGAAGUCUGAAGAGAGAACCUCUUUCUGAUUUGAGAUGGUUGGCCAAUCAGAGCUUGGGACUUCAGGUGAGCUGGAAGGUGUUCACCAGGCCAGGAGCUAAUGGGAGAGGCCGCGCAGCAGACGUGACACUCCACAGUAGAUUCCUUCUUUUGGUCCAGCUGGGACAGCCACCACCAGCACAACAGAUCUUAAUCGGCGGCCGGAGAUCUCUCUGCUGCUGCCCGUGAACUUCAUGAGACUUUGGAGGUGUCUUCCUCAGUAGGCAGCACACCCAUUCUACGGUCCAAGUCACUAUCAUCAGCAGAACCUGGGAGGUUGUUCCCACCUAUGCCAGCAAAGGGAAGUCCUGGAGACACCAUUUCAACACAGUACACAGCCUUUGAGCCGCGGCUUGCAUGCUGGUGACUGGUGGCUGGCGUCUGAACCCAACCUACAAGGAAUGUGUGUUCUGGCUUCUGUAAUGAGAAAUCAAGAUUCUUCAUGUAGGGAUGUCAAAGUCCCCCAAGAUGGCAGGUCUCCUGGCAGUGAAGUCUGGAUGGGGUUCCACAGGGCACAGUUGCUGGUUAGCAGGCUUUUGUAGCUCCUCACGGCUUAUGCUUGGAGCCGUUUCUCCAGCAAGAUAUUAGGUUGGUGGCUGAUUGUUGCCUAGGAGAAAUAAUAAUAUAAAAGCA
Long non-coding RNA from Mesocricetus auratus (golden hamster), 1203 nucleotides. RefSeq lists it as uncharacterized. The record is from RefSeq and is a predicted model, not a curated record. The transcript is spliced from 5 exons. Lineage: Eukaryota; Metazoa; Chordata; Mammalia; Rodentia; Cricetidae.